AAACUACUCUAGGACGUGGUUGGAUAAACGCAUGUUGUUCAGCAGAGGCCGUUAACCUUUAAAGCGCUGAUACGUUUUGGUUUAUUUCAAUUUUUUUAACCCGAAUUGCUGUCUUUUUAAGAAGUCUCUGAAAUCGUCUCCCUUGACAGGGCAAGCAAAACGUGCCUUAAAUCUCCAUCUCGUGGAAGAUCUGCUUGGCUGGCAGCUGAUGUGUGUUGCUGUUGGGUUUUAAGGAACAUCUCUGUGUUGUACUUCUUUUGUUGUUUAGCUUUGAUUUAGUAUUUUUUUCCUUUUUCUCUUUGUUUUAUUUGAUUGGUUGUUUUUGGUCUUUUGCAUUUGGUUUUUCAAAGAGCUUUGGCAAACACCAGAGCCAUCAAGGCCAGGGCAGGCCCUCUCUCCUCCUUCUCUUACUGAUGCUCUUGACCUGAGUUCCUUGAGUGCUCCUCUGCGAUCUGCCAAGGUGCAAAAUUUGCAAAAUUAUCUCCUGCCUUUAAUCCCAGCUUUCUCCCACCUGUGGGAUGCUCCCUCCAGUUCUGUCUGGCAGCAAUGAGCUCUCCUGAGCAGCUCCAAAGGUGGGGAGGACUGGGGGAAGAAGGAGAGCAGGAGUGCACACAAAUUCACUUUUUCCUGCAGAAAGGCAGAGUGGCAAGAGAGA
RNAcentral lists this long non-coding RNA (655 nucleotides) under Zonotrichia albicollis (white-throated sparrow). Its description in RNAcentral is "lncRNA (ENSZALG00000010372.1)". Lineage: Eukaryota; Metazoa; Chordata; Aves; Passeriformes; Passerellidae. The record is from RNAcentral.